GGAAUUUUGGACAAUGGGCGCAAGCCUGAUCCAGCAAUGCCGCGUGAGUGAAGAAGGCCUUCGGGUUGUAAAGCUCUUUUGUCAGGGAAGAAACGGGCCUUUCUAAUACAGGGGCCUAAUGACGGUACCUGAAGAAUAAGCACCGGCUAACUACGUGCCAGCAGCCGCGGUAAUACGUAGGGUGCAAGCGUUAAUCGGAAUUACUGGGCGUAAAGCGUGCGCAGGCGGUUUUGUAAGACUGUCGUGAAAUCCCCGGGCUCAACCUGGGAAUGGCGAUGGUGACUGCAAGGCUAGAGUUUGGCAGAGGGGGGUAGAAUUCCACGUGUAGCAGUGAAAUGCGUAGAUAUGUGGAGGAACACCGAUGGCGAAGGCAGCCCCCUGGGUCAAAACUGACGCUCAUGCACGAAAGCGUGGGGAGCAAACAGGAUUAGAUACCCUUG
This 440-nucleotide ribosomal RNA is filed under the name uncultured Duganella sp. RNAcentral's name for it is "bacterial SSU rRNA". It matches the Rfam family "Bacterial small subunit ribosomal RNA", at positions 358 to 790 of the family's 1533-position model. The record is from RNAcentral. Lineage: Bacteria; Pseudomonadati; Pseudomonadota; Betaproteobacteria; Burkholderiales; Oxalobacteraceae.